UUUCUAUUAACAAGAAAUGCACUAAGAAAAUAUUACUAGGCAUCAAUACCACACUGAGAACUGUGCAGUUUAAUCCCUUUCCUCCUACACUGUCCUUAAUUCAAAUAGUUUUUUUAUAUUUAGUAAUUUUGACAACAGUCAUUAAUAAGCAUCAUCUGAACCAGUUAUGGGUGUAUUAACUAGGAGGAGGCUGGAAGGUCUGGAUUUUCCUGCCUAGCUUUGUGAUUGCUGUUUGUUACGGAGAAUAUUAUUGUUUGCUGCUUUGGACAGACUAAGAGGCAGCACCUCCUGUCUCUAUAACAGCCUUCAGUCUCUCUCCUUGUAUGGAUUUCCAAAAACAAGGGAGAGAAGGGAAUAACAUUUUUGUGAUGUCUAGUAUCUGUUUAACCCAGCAUGUUACGCAAAGCUGAACUUUACAGAAAGUUUCAUGGAUGUCUCCAGAAGGAAGACAUUUGAAAUCAGAUAUACAGAAGAUGCUGGAAGCAUUCAAGUCUUCACAGAGAUGUACCACCACAGCAGGGUGACUGCAAAUUGGGUUUCUUCUCCCAUAUCUACUGGUGAUGUCCAGAGAUUUCUUAGGACCUUGCUCUCCUUGGUUUGGUCUAAUCUUGUAACCUUUUCAUACAGUGCUCUAAGUGAAGAGCUAUUUAGAGACUGUUGUUAUUUACAGCUAGAUAUUAUUUACAGCCUGUUUAUACAAAUCUUAACCUGAUAUAUUUCUCCGUAGAAUAGAUUCUUUAGGACAAAUUCCACAUGCCCUUGCCAUGUCUGAAGCAGAGUACUAGCUUUAUUUAAGUCAUUUAAGCAUUAUUAUACUUCUCUUUUCUGUACAAGCAGAAAACAUCUAAUGUCGAUAUUUCUUCUUACAGAAGGUGCUGUAUGGGAAAAAAAGGAGAGAGACUAUGAUGAAAUUGUCUGAAGAGACAAGCGAAAAUAAAACAGCUUAUGUCAAGCACUGAGGUUUGUAAUAAGUGAUGUGCCGACAACAGACACCUUCACUAAGGGAAAGAGAAACCUAAAAGAUAAACAUAAAAAAAAUUACAGGCACAUUUUCCAAGCUGCUUCACUUUUUAUUUCUUUUCACGGAAGCUAGGUGACCCAAUCCUUCACAGUGCUUGCGCCACACUUAAACAUUGCAGCUGUUACAGAUAAUAUAACCUUUAAUUUUGUACUGAACAAUACCAAACUAAACAAAAGUAUCCUUGCUCUAGCAAAGAGCUGGGUCAAAGUGGUUCCACUGCUAAGUGUAGACUAGGUAAUUUGUACUCUGGCACAGAAGUUCAAUCUAGGCUUCAACACCAAUAGCAUAUCCACAUGACUCUCAUGCAGCAGGCUCUUAACAUGAUUCCAGUACUACCAGAGGAACCACAAUGGGCUUUUCUAACAGUCAAAUGAUUUAUUAACCAUUUUUAAUGUUCUGCUCUUCUAUUUGAUUUUCUGGUGGGUGUAAUCUCCAUAUCCAAGCAGUUUUGAGGCAAAUAGCCAAAACUAAUUGAGUUCAUCUAGGAUGAAAAUAAAAUGGCACAUUCCAUACUCUCAACAGAUGCUUUCUGUUUAAAAACAUCUCCAGCCAGCAUAUAUAUGGAAGGUACACAAACAGAAUGGUAUGAGGACUUAGAUAUUACACCUGGAUUUUACAGAGAACUCUAAAAAAUAGGGGAUAUACAGAGAAGUUGUAUGAAAGGCUAUAAAGCUAUAGGUACUGGGAGUUGAAGCAGAAAACAUUAGAUCAUAGUUUUUCUGACAUUCUCACUGCUCUCACUCUGACUGCUGUUCCCAAUCUGCUCUUGCAAUGUAAGGGUAGCCUACUCACUGCAGAUUCACAGUGAGACUCAACUACAUUGUGCUUUCCUUGUGCCUCUCUUUACCUAGAUACAGAGCAGCUCUACAGCAAACCCGUGCCCUCUAGCUUAUUAAAUCACUCAUAAAGUACAGCCCCUCAGGUGAUACUACAGAUGUUGAAACAGAUAUAAGGGUUGUAAAGGAUACUAGAAUUUGGGGACUGCUGUGGGCAUUCAAUUGAAGCAAAUAAUCAGUGGGCUCAAGUAACUACACUCUGCCAGUGCAGCCAAUAUAUCAUGGCAAAACACUGAGCUGUAUGAAUGCUGGGAUCUUCAAUCAGAUAUUGCUCAUUUAAAAAUGGAGCUGUGCAACAGUGGCCCUAUCUCUUGUACUCAUUUUUCUUGGAGCAGCAGUAUGACAUUUCAAAAGAUGAGAAGUACCUUUCAGCUUGAAUAAACUCAGAAAUCUAUCUGUAAACACAUUUGGCCUCAUCUUGAGAAAUGUCAGAUUUCUGGAAUGAACAGCAUGGGUAAAAUAUUUGUGUCAGUAUUUAAACAGCCACAUGUAGGAGAGCAGGCAGGGUUGCAACAUUUUAUAUUGCACUUUUUUGCAAAUACAAUAGCUAUAGGAAGAAAUGCACAUUACGCCCAACAUCUUUGUCCUGCUGUAGCAAAGAGUCUAUAGUGGGAGGGAAAACUUCUUUCACCUCCUUCUCUGCCUCAUUGUAAUCAGGUCUCUGACUUGCUGGGUUUCCGUGGAGGAAUCCUUCCUGACACUAGAUGACAAUCGCUGUGUUCAUUCAUUAUUGUUAUUCAUUGUUGGGGUUCCAGUAUUGUCACCUGAAAUCAAGUCCUUGUUGUGCUGAGCAUUAUAUACAGAAAAUGGCAGUUCCUGCUCUGAAGAGCUUGCAGUCCAGAGAGGCAAAACAAAUGUGAAGUGAACGACAGCCUACAAACAUUAGCGCCAUGGCUUGAUUUGUGUGUGUGUUUACAGCAGUGUUUUUCAGCCUAUGGUUUGUGAGCCCCAGAGGGUAGUGGUCUAUAGGGGAUCAAGAAAGGUAACUAAGGAGAAAAAAAAAAAAGGCUCAACUUCACCUCACACAAAUCUCUGCUUCCUCUGGAAAGUGUUUAGGGCCUCUAUACUGAAAACACUGAAAAUCAUUGUAUAUGGGUUGCUGCAAUCAAGCCUGUCAUCUGUAACACCCUGAGACACAUCAGCUUACAUAUCUGGUUACUGCUUUAUAGGCUCAUACACCAGUCUCACCCCACCUGGUUUCCACUCCAAGUAGUGCAGCAUGGAGUAGAGAAGACCAAGCAAUGUUCUGUACCUCCAGGCUUGCCACACCAUGAGAUCCCAUGCUCAGAGAAGCCUUUUACAGAUUUCAGAGCAGCUCACACACACCAGAGCCCCUCAAUCUGCCAUAGCAUCCUCACCUCCCUUCUUCUUGUGCAGGAUUUACUCCCAGGAAAAUAAGCCCCCCCACAUCUUGAGUUUUCAAAUGGAAAGAACUUAAGCUCUCCUUAGCACUUGCUUGCCUUCUUCCUCUGAUGGAGGGACCAGACAGGGAAAUACCUACCAGCAAAUAGCAGUUCACCUAGCAGUAGCUAUCAAGUUAACCUGCUUGAAGAAUACUCAAUUGCAUAAGAACCUGUCUGUCUUAAGACUCCUAGAGACCAUGAACUUUGGCAAAAGGUCUGACUGUUACCAGAGAUGGCAUUCCCUGACUACUGCAUGCAAGAGAGCCACUUGCACACGGAGGAGAAGCACUUGGCUUCUGAGCUCAGGUUGUUUAUUAAAGCCAAGGAACCUUGCUGGUUGUGGAUUAGCCCUCCAAACUGCAUGUGGUACUCUGCUGUAUUUUUCAUACAGCAAUUCAUUCUCUUACAAUUUUUCAGAGAAUAAAAUUUUCACUGACCCAAUAAAAUAUGCUAAAAUUGCUUAUAAUGGCACUGCUUAGGAUUAGGUAGGAAGCCAUUAUAUCAUAAUUUACAGAGCUAUUGGCCAGUAUUGAGCAUGCAUAUUGUAAACUAUAAUGAAAUGGAGAAAAAUCACUUUCAGAUGUAUUUUCACUCUGUAUUUUGUAAUCACAACAAUAUAUCAACCUUUCUAAUAUUCUUUUCUCAUGAUUGAGUGGACCUAUUUGGCUUGUUAUUGCACACACGUAAAUCUUACAAUAUCAUUUGGCAACUGUUAUGUUCAAGCUGGAAUGCUCUUAUUUCUGAUCUCUCUGCUUCUUCCCUUAAAAUAUCACCUUGUGCUAAGGCUGAGGAGCAAUUAAAGAUGACACAUGAGAAAUCUGCAUCCACUCUGAGAACAUAAGAACAUUCCUACUUCCCCACAACACCUACUUUGCCUUAUGGCCAGAGUCGUCGGGCUUUUUAUUCUGCAAAUAUAUCCUGAUGUGGGAUGGAAUUCUGAUUAAUUUUCCAUUUAGCUUUCUAAAGUUUCUGAUCAUCCCCAGAAUUCCACAAUUUACUUUGGCCGGUGUUUCUGUCUCCCUCUCUUCUUUGUGCUGUAGUUUCUGAUGUACAUAUAUAUAUGCAUAUACACUCAUAUACUAUUUUUCCUGAGGAGUAGAUAAGAACCGUGACCUGGUAAGGUCUUUGUUGCUGGUACAAAUUAAAACUUUGCUUUGCUCAAAUAUAUUCAGAUCUAAGGAUGGUCAGAUACUAAAACGAACAGUAGAACCCAUAUGUAUGAUAUCAGAUCAAUGGCCUGUAUAUGUGCAUCUAAAAAUUGGAGACAGCUCACAGAUAAACCACAUCCAACUUUUCUAGCUGGUUACUAUUUGUUCUGGAAAUGCAACCCGAAGUCUUGAUCAAAUAUUUCUCAUAUUUAUGCUCUGUUUCACUUAAAUGGUAUUACCCCAACAAGAAAGGUAAACAAUGUGCAGGAUUACAGGAAGGAAGGACUCAAAAUACAUCCCCUAGUAUGAAGUGAGCCAGAAAUACCUCACAAAAUAUGCUCAAAAAGCAGAAACAUUCAGAAAAGUUUAUGAAAUUAAACAAACCAAAAUGUGAGACCACAUCUGCUAAAUCUUCAAACUAGAAAUGUUUUCAGACCAGCAUGUACAGAUAGAUCCACCCCAGGAGUCUUGAAGUGAACGAGCUCUCUCACAACUAGAAAUAUUAAUUUUAUCACACUUUGGCAAUCUGAGAAAGUAUCAAACAGCUGGUGAUUGUCAGCAUGAUCCCAAUACGUUAGAAGAAUGAUGUAGAGAAUAACAGAUUGGCUAGUCUGAUAUCAAUACUGGCUGAAAUAAUAAACUGGGACUGUGUCGGGACUGUGUCAGCGAAGCACCCAAACCUAAAAACAUAAUGAAUGUCAGUUAGCAUUCCUAGAAAGCAGAUCUGGUUAUUUUGGUAGGAGUGUGUUCCUGGUUGAUAAUGGCAACUUUCUUGAGGUGGGAUACUGAAUUCUUCAACACAUCUGCCUUAGUACCACAUCAAAUUUUGAUUUUAAAAUGCUUAUACCAGCAACAUGAAACAGGACAGCUUAGAUAGAUUACUGGAUCACUGACAAAACACAGAAUACAGUUGCUACUGAGGGGACAUCAACUUUCUUGCUUCUAUUGGUAACACAUAAGGACUAAUUUGUGUUCCAACAAACUCUAUUAUUUUUAUUAACACUGAAGUUGGCAGUAAGGAGAGGCUGCUGCUGCAGUGCGAUCUGAGUCACCUGGUAAAAUGAUCACAAGCCAACACAGUAUCUUUAAUUUUAUACAAAUAUGCAGCAGUCAAUCCAGAACAUGGAUAAAAAUGAUACCUAAGAAUUAGGAGCUUCAUCUCUGUCCACGUGAUGCAGAGAAGCUCUUGAGUUACCUCAAAUGACGUAACUGCAGUUGUGUAAUGGUACUGUCUAAUAUGAUCCUUGGAAAAAUAAAAGGAGGAAGAAUUAUCAAACCAUCUUAUCCUUCUUAAUAGCAAUGGCAAGAGCAGUAUUAGAGUCUGGCAUCUGCAUUUGAGAAAAGAUACUGAAAUGCUAAAACCUCUUAAAGUGAAGGGAAGCAAUGGGACAAGGACAACAGCCCCUUCCACCCCCUCUCUGAUUACAGGUGUAAUUAAAUAUUGGGACAGGUGGUAGACUCAAUACGAUUUAUUCCAAUUGCCUUUCUGAAGGUGCUACACUGUAUGCCAGUCUGCAGGUUGUCUAGGAUAUGUAAACUCUUCAACAUAUAUAUGCAGAAUGUUAUAUCAAAUAGCAUCAGACUUAAGAAAAGGUUUUGAGUCUUCCUCCUCCCUAGCUUGUGAGGAUUGCUCUUCAUAAAGAUAAUGAAUAAAAUUGGAUAUGAUGGGAUCUGAUGUGACCAACACACCUGAAGGGACCAGGAAGGCCACAAUCACCAGUGUGCAUUGCCAAAUGUGUGUUUAGCUUGUCUGCUUCUUCUGAACCAUUCUGUGCUCUGCACAUGACAGCUCCUUUGAGCACAAAAAAUAAUUGUGGGAAAGUCCAGCUUAGACCCAGGGCUGCCUAGAUGGGACAGGCACAGGUGGUGUCUGGAGAAGGUGAAGGAACAGAGUAGUGUGGAGGAACUACAGACAUGGAAUCUUUGGAAACUUUUAUAUCACAUGUAGUCCCAAUGGAAUGUGUGAAAUGAUGAGAAUGGUAGGAAGCCAUUCACAGCCUGCAGGCCAUCUCCCAGGGCAAAUUUUAAAGCUAGAAUUUAGUGUUAGACAUCUAAAAGAUCAGCAUUAGUCAAAGCUAAAUUACCUGAUGCUCUGCUCUGUACAUUGCCAGGAGAUAGAUACCACCAGAAGGCAAUCCAUAUUGCUUUAAAUUAAGAAUGCAAAAAGGAUGGAUACCUCUUGGCCUUAUGGAAACCUAGGUGAGUUUAGACUGGCGGUCUAGUUUCUGUAUGGAUAAAGUCAAGUGAGAUGAACCCCAUGCUAAAUAUCUUCUCCAGAGCACAGAAUUAGUAGUGUUUCUCAAUGAAAUGGCUACAAAUACAUCUGCAUUAGCAAGCUAACUAAUUUUCUUCUCCCAAAACCCUGUUAGCUUGAAGCAGAUAUUCUCUACAGUUGGUUUUGGUUGCUUGCAAGGGGAAGGGGUCUGAUUAAGAACUGCACACCACACAGCAGCCUGGCCUGAAGUGAAGCCCUGCUGGGUGCAGCUGUGUAUCGCAAGAGGGGAGAGAGCCCACAGACUCAGUGUGAGUGGCACAAACAUGAGUGCUGACACUUCCCAAAACAUUCAAUCAAAUUCAUCUUGGCUUGGAACUAAAGAAGCCUCUUGUCCAUGUGCACUGACAAAUAAAUGUCGUAGGCCAUAAAGGUGCAGCAUGGCUUUUAUUUCAGUGAGGUCAAUGCAAUUUUACAGUAUUUACCUACCUGUAACAUAAUACAAUUGGUUUUUAGCCUUUAGAUACACUUCAUUUUGAAUCUAAGAUUCCAGUCGCCCUGAUUUAUUGAACUUACUGGGUAAUGGAACUUUGUUGAUACUUUAAACCAAAGUGAAAUGGAAGGCAAACUUGGAAAGCACUACCCCAGAUGAGAUUUGGCAAGGAAUCAAUAUUUUACAGUUUAAAUAUGUAUUAAUCCAUGGCAGAACUAAACCAUUUUAACUUUUUAUACAGACAGUAUUUUACCCUUGUGAAACUGUAUAAAAAGUGUAUAAAAAGUGCGUAUUAUGGAGUUAUUUUGCUGAAUGUUAUUUAUGAUACAGUUAUCUCGCUGGGGAGAAGCAAGAGCUAGUGAUAUCUGCCCAGGGAAAAAUUAUUGGGUGGUAAUUUCAAAAAAGCUUGAAAGAUUUAGACAGUCAAUUCCUAGUGAAUUGGGAGUUAUGACGGGAGUUAUGGCUUUUUAUCAUAUAAGCAGUUUUGAAAAUGCAGCUCCUCCUUCCCUCUUUAUCUUUAAUUGAGUUCAUUUGUCUUUCAUUUACUUAUUGUGACAUUCUCAUGCAAUUUGAAGUGCCUUCAGAAAUAAUAACAGGCAAAAGACAUACAUACAGUCUUCUGCUGUCAGAGGUACUGCAUUGUGGACUAGAGGGGCUGAUGACUGCCUCUGUAAUUUACUCCAUUGUUGAACUUACAAAGGAAGCAGCACUUUCAUGUUAUGGGCCAUGAGGUGCAGAAGCGGAGGUAAUAGAGAAUGUCACUGACAGAAGCUGGAGUGUGAGACAGCGGCACUAGCAACUAAGCAAAACCACUUCCGAGCUCCUUCCUAGACUGUGUUCUAAGCACUUGCUUGGUAAAAAACAACCAAAAUUACUCUUACUCUCUAAAGGGCUUUUGUAAACAACAAAAAAAUCCAAACCAGAAAUGCUCUUAAUACCUGAAAGGCUUUUGUAACGGAGCCAAUAAAAAUGUAACCAAAAAUAUUUCAGUGGUACUUUCUCUGGUACCUCUUAUUUUAACAAUGCUUAUAGUAUUGAUAAAAUGAUAAAUGAUGUGAUUAUAUCUCGAGGAUAACUGAAACUGAACACAGAUCUUUUCUGUGUUUUUUUAACCAUUCUGCUUUGAACCAGCCAUUUUAAUUCAAUUUCCUUUUAGUCAAGAGCUUCAAAAUCAGAAGUUUACAAAUAACUGCAGCAUAUCCUUUUUUUUUUACUUCUUUUGGACAAUCCAGAACAAGCAUCCAUAAUGUGUUGCUAACACAGACAAAAAAAGAGUUUUUAAGUAAGAAAAAUCAAGACUAUAUAACUGCGGCAUGGAGAAACAGCUGAUAUAAUUUAAAGUUCAGUCCUAGUUCAAAUUAGAACCUAAAAUAAAAGAAAAAAACCUAGACAUUUUUAAGGCAAGGUGAUAAACAGAUAAACCAGGCACCAGAGAAAUGCAUAACUCACAGACAUAUACGUAAGUUCAUUGUAGACACUGAUUUUUCUGCAGUGCUGAAACGUGAGCCUGGCUUACUGUAUAUGUUUAAUCUUUAACUUUCCCUGAGAAAACAACUUUCCUCUUUUGGACACCUUUACUAAGGACCCAUUUUCACACUGACUCUAUAAAAUUAUCUACAUUAUUAUUUAGCAUUUAUAUAAUAGCAGUAUGGUCAUAUAAGAUGUAGGAAAAUGGAUAUACAGCGUAUCUGGAAAGAAAACAAAUAGUUCCCUAAAGCAGGUGGUGAGGCUCGUAUCUUACUCUUUAUAAUAGACAUGAGGUUUAAAAAAAAAGUCAGAAGUCUGUGCAUAUGCGAGAGGUAGGAGUAGCUGAGACAAGCAAUGAUCAUUGCUAUUCCUAUUUUACAGGUGAAAAGCUGAGGCUGAAAAAUGGACUUGUCCAAAAUAAUAGAGACAGAAGUGACAGAAUAGAGUUGAGAGCUUACCUGUCUAAAUCCUAAUCCAAGUCACUCCUAAAAUUAGAGUGAAGCAUUUCUGUAAGAAAUUGUGACAGUAAUUAAUGUGCAUAAGUCUGAAAAGAUCUAAAGUUAUAAAAAAAAAAAAAA
This 9158-nucleotide long non-coding RNA is filed under the name Strigops habroptila (Kakapo). Its description in RNAcentral is "lncRNA (ENSSHBG00005015063.1)". Lineage: Eukaryota; Metazoa; Chordata; Aves; Psittaciformes; Psittacidae. The record is from RNAcentral.